AUGCUUAGCCUCGUCCACCCCAGCUGUAAAACUCAGAAACCAGUCUUACUUGUUAUCAUCUAUCGUCCACCUGGGCCUUACACAGAGUUUCUCUCUGAUUUCUCAGACUUUUUAUCUGAUUUAGUGCUCAGCUCAGAUAAAAUAAUUAUUGUGGGUGAUUUUAACAUCCAUGUAGAUGCUAAAAAUGACAGCCUCAACAUGGCAUUUAAUCUGUUAUUAGACUCAGUUGGCUUCUCUCAAAAUGUAAAAGAACCCACCCACCACUUUAAUCACACUCUAGAUCUUGUUUUAACAUAUGGCAUAGAAACUGAACAUUUAACAGUGUUUCCUGAAAACCCUCUGCUGUCUGAUCAUUUCCUGAUAACAUUUACAUUUACAAUAAUUGAUUACACAGCAGUGGAGAGUAGACUUUAUCACAGUAGAUGUCUUUCUGAAAGCGCUGUAACUAAGUUUAAGAAUAUAAUCCACCCACUGUUAUCAUCUUCAAUGCCCUGUACCAACAUAGAGCAGAGCAGCUAUCUGAACGCUACUCCAACAAAGGUCGAUUAUCUUGUUAAUAAUUUUACCUUCUCACUACGUACGACUCUGGAUACUGUAGCUCCUGUGAAAACUAAGGCCUCAAAUCAGAAGUACCUGACUCCGUGGUAUAAUUCUCAAACACGUAGCCUAAAGCAGAUAACUCGUAAGCUGGAGAGGAAAUGGCGUGUCACAAAUUUAGAGGAUCAUCAUUUAGCCUGGAGAAAUAGUUUGUUGCUUUAUAAGAAAGCCCUCCGCAAAGCCAGAACAUCUUACUAUUCGUCACUGAUUGAAGAAAAUAAGAACAACCCCAGGUUUCUCUUCAGCACUGUAGCCAGGCUGACAAACAGUCAGAGCUCUACUGAGCCAACAAUCCCUUUAACGUUAACUAGUAAUGACUUCAUGAACUUCUUCACAAAUAAAAUUUUUAUCAUUAGAGAAAAAAUUACCAAUAAUCAUCCCACAGAUGUAAUAUUAUCUACAGCUACUUUUAGUACCAUCGAUGUUAAGUUAGACUCUUUUUCUCCAAUUGAUCUUUCUGAGUUAACUUCAAUAAUUACUUCCUCCAAACCAUCAACGUGUCUUUUAGACCCCAUUCCUACAAAACUGCUCAAAGAAGUCCUGCCAUUAAUUAAUGCUUAUAUCUUAAAUAUGAUCAACCUAUCUCUAAUAAUCGGCUAUGUACCACAGGCCUUCAAGGUGGCUGUAGUUAAACCUUUACUUAAAAAGCAUCUCUAG
This 1254-nucleotide long non-coding RNA is filed under the name Oreochromis niloticus (Nile tilapia). RNAcentral describes it as "lncRNA (ENSONIG00000037030.1)". Lineage: Eukaryota; Metazoa; Chordata; Actinopteri; Cichliformes; Cichlidae. The record is from RNAcentral.